AUGAACUAAGUGCACGCACCUCUGGUUUUGGCCCAAAGUUUUCCUAAUCCUAUGAACAUAUAGUCUCUAGGAAGGUGGUCUCAUAUUGUUGUUACACGACUUUGGCAGCCAUAGCGUCAAAACUGUACGAUUUCAUCAUGCUUUGCCAAAGUUAAGCCACUUGAAUCAUUCUAUAGUCACCCUAAUAAAAAAACCUUCUUGUGCUUCUGCUUUGACCAUCGGCACCCUCAGGUUGUCCUAGCUGAGGUUUAUUCGAGUAGACUGAUGUUUUUUUUUUUUUGGUAAGUAAGAAGUAAUAUAAAUAUAAAAGGGGGGCAAAAAAAAACAAAGAACCGGCUUCAAAGACUCGCACUCAAAAGAACAGUCUCAAAAGAGUGAAAGGAAGCCGGGCAAAGGCCAAGUGGCCAAAAGACGACAAGAUUAUUUUAUGACUGACGCUUGAACCUUAAGAGAUCUCAUAACCCGAAACCUCCGUACUUGAUUCGCUCUAGCUUGAGAUCCGCUACCCUACUCUGUCUACUGAACUGCCUUUACUACCCAUGCCUUGUCUUGUCAUGCCGGCUGUUUCCUACUACUGAGAUGCUACUACCAAUGUGACUUCACUCACAGCUGUGCACUGAUUUGCUCUCUCUUGAGUUGGCUUAGCUCGUUCUAUGGCUCGCUCCGUGCUUGCUCACAACACACUAAGACCAUGAACCGGCUACACAUCAAACUGUGAAGAUAGCAGGGUCCAAUUCCCAGGAGCGUUGUAAUCUUCUGUUUCUUGGGGAAUCCUCCACAUUUUUGAAGGUGCAUGCUUUAUCUUUGACCACCUUCAUGAGAUGCAUCUUCAUAGAAGAAGUAGAAAUCUGCGCACCCCUGAAGAGGAUGUCAUUUCUGUUCUUCCACACAAUGUGGCAUAAAGCACCAAAAGAAAAACGGGCGAUGCAAUUAUGGAAGUCCUUGCCGGAUAGCAAGGCCGAGACCUAGAUAAUUGUUUCCUCCCAUGGAUUGUUCCUCCAAGGAAUACCAGACCUAGCCGCCCAAAAGGAGGCAACUCCCGAAGUAACCCGACAGCCAAAAAAGAGGUGAUUAACUGAGUCGGGCACAUCAUUACAAAAGGGGCAGCAGGCAGCUUCGAUCCUACCGUAGGACAUGAGGAGGGCCUGAGUAGGUAGUCUCCGUUUGGUGAUGAGCCACAAAUUGAGCUGGUACCGAGGCAGAAUGGCAUUGUUCCAAAUGAAGCCAUGCCAAGUAGCCUGAUGUUCGGCGCUGCUACAAGUAAGAAUGCUAAGCAGGCUGAGGUAAUUAGAGGAAAUGAAUAUGUUGGCCCCCUGCAAGAUCAGAUGAAUUAGCGCGCAUUCAGGGUGCAUUGUGUGGUUCAUUUGCUGCUUGUGCUGAUAAAGGAGAUGAGGUGAUCUUCACUUGUUCUGGAUCUUGGGAAGUUUUGCCUCUGUUGAUUUCGGGAACCUCAUUAGGGAAAGAAAACAGAGGAUUUCAUGCCACAACAUGGUCUGGUUUCAGCCAAAAUUUGCUCUUAUCACAUGGGCGGCUGUUCAUAAAUCCAAGGAAAACUCUACUUGGAAAGGCUAAAAACCAAUCUAUAAAGAUUAUUUGAACCAACAAACUCGUAUUUCUAUGAAUUAAUCGAAAAAUGAUAUUAAAAUCUAAGUAAAACUCUAUUUUAACUAAUGAUUCAGCUAAACUAGGCUUAUUCGUUGAAAAAGCACCUUUUACAUGCUAAUGAAGAAACUUGUUUAUAGAGAAUAUCCUUAUUUGGCCGUUAC
This 1766-nucleotide long non-coding RNA is filed under the name Eucalyptus grandis. RNAcentral describes it as "long non-coding RNA (EGRA_LNC005784)". Lineage: Eukaryota; Viridiplantae; Streptophyta; Magnoliopsida; Myrtales; Myrtaceae. The record is from RNAcentral.